This 466-nucleotide ribosomal RNA is filed under the name uncultured bacterium. RNAcentral describes it as "bacterial SSU rRNA". It matches the Rfam family "Bacterial small subunit ribosomal RNA", at positions 198 to 645 of the family's 1533-position model. The record is from RNAcentral.
GGAGAAAAGUAGGGGAUCGCAAGACCUUGCGCUAAAGGAGCGGCCGAUGUCUGAUUAGCUAGUUGGUGAGGUAAAGGCUUACCGAGGCAACGAUCAGUAGUUGGUCUGAGAGGACGGCCAACCACACUGGGACUGAGACACGGCCCAGACUCCUACGGGAGGCAGCAGUGGGGAAUUUUGGACAAUGGGCGAAAGCCUGAUCCAGCCAUGCCGCGUGAGUGAAGAAGGCCUUCGGGUUGUAAAGCUCUUUUAGUCGGAAAGAAAGAGUUGCAAUGAAUAAUUGUGAUUUAUGACGGUACCGACAGAAAAAGCACCGGCUAACUACGUGCCAGCAGCCGCGGUAAUACGUAGGGUGCGAGCGUUAAUCGGAAUUACUGGGCGUAAAGGGUGCGCAGGCGGUUUUGCAAGUCAGAUGUGAAAGCCCCGGGCUUAACCUGGGAAUUGCGUUUGAAACUACAAAGCUAGA